Molecule: ribosomal RNA, 468 nt
Filed under: uncultured bacterium
Lineage: Bacteria
Description: partial 16S ribosomal RNA
Rfam family: Bacterial small subunit ribosomal RNA
Source: RNAcentral
GACGAACGCUGGCGGCGUGCUUAACACAUGCAAGUCGAACGGAAAGGCCCUGCUUUUGUGGGGUGCUCGAGUGGCGAACGCGUGAGUAACACGUGAGUAACCUGCCCUUGACUUUGGGAUAACUUCAGGAAACUGGGGCUAAUAUCGGAUAGGAGCUCCUGCUGCAUGGUGGGGGUUGGAAAGUUUCGGCGGUUGGGGAUGGACUCGCGGCUUAUCAGCUUGUUGGUGGGGUAGUGGCUUACCAAGGCUUUGACGGGUAGCCGGCCUGAGAGGGUGACCGGCCACAUUGGGACUGAGAUACGGCCCAGACGCCAACGGGAGGCAGCGGUGGGAAAUAUGGCACAAUGGGCGGAAGCCUGAUGCAGCAACGCCGCGUGCGGAAUGACGGCCUUCGGGUUGUAAACCGCUUUCGCCUGUGACGAAGCGUGAGUGACGGUAAUGAGUAAAGAAGCACCGGCUAACUACGUG